CCUACGGGAGGCAGCAGUAGGGAAUAUUGGACAAUGGGCGAAAGCCUGAUCCAGCAAUGCCGCGUGAGUGAUGAAGGCCUUAGGGUUGUAAAGCUCUUUUACCCGAGAUGAUAAUGACAGUAUCGGGAGAAUAAGCUCCGGCUAACUCCGUGCCAGCAGCCGCGGUAAU
This 169-nucleotide ribosomal RNA is filed under the name uncultured bacterium. RNAcentral describes it as "partial 16S ribosomal RNA". It matches the Rfam family "Bacterial small subunit ribosomal RNA", at positions 338 to 524 of the family's 1533-position model. RNAcentral also lists the same sequence under 1 other name. The record is from RNAcentral.